RNAcentral lists this ribosomal RNA (520 nucleotides) under uncultured bacterium. RNAcentral describes it as "bacterial SSU rRNA". It matches the Rfam family "Archaeal small subunit ribosomal RNA", at positions 345 to 866 of the family's 1478-position model. The record is from RNAcentral.
AACCUCCGCAAUGUGAGAAAUCGCGACGGGGGGAUCCCAAGUGCCAUCCUUAACGGGAUGGCUUUUCAUUAGUGUAAGGAGCUUUUGGAAUAAGAGCUGGGCAAGACCGGUGCCAGCCGCCGCGGUAACACCGGCAGCUCUAGUGGUAGCAGUUUUUAUUGGGCCUAAAGCGUCCGUAGCCGGUUUAAUAAGUCUCUGGUGAAAUCCUGUAGCUUAACUGUGGGAAUUGCUGGAGAUACUAUUAGACUUGAGAUCGGGAGAGGUUAGAGGUACUCCCAGGGUAGAGGUGAAAUUCUGUAAUCCUGGGAGGACCGCCUGUUGCGAAGGCUUCUAACUGGAACGAUUCUGACGGUGAGGGACGAAAGUUAGGGGCGCGAACCGGAUUAGAUACCCGGGUAGUCCUAACUGUAAACGAUGCGGACUUGGUGUUGGGGUGGCUUUGAGCUGCUCAGUGCCGAAGGGAAGCUGUUAAGUCCGCCGCCUGGGAAGUACGGUCGCAAGACUAAAACUUAAAGGAAAU